UAGUUGAUGCUAAUCUGUGCUAGCAUGGCUAUGAGACUGAGUUAGGGAGAAGCUGCUAUAUUGUACUGAUUAUACAAAUACUAAGAAAUUAACUAGACUAGAACACCGUUAACAUUCACAGAAAGUGAUCGUCACAAUCACAAUAAUGGCAGCGAUUUCUGUUUGAGGUUCAUGUCGGGUGAAAGAACCACAACUAACAACCGCAGACAGACACAC
Molecule: long non-coding RNA, 216 nt
Organism: Tachysurus fulvidraco (yellow catfish)
Lineage: Eukaryota; Metazoa; Chordata; Actinopteri; Siluriformes; Bagridae
Exons: 2
Source: RefSeq, a predicted model, not a curated record